CGAGACGGUCGGGCGAUCGCGGCGCGCGGAACCACCCUGCACACGGGGCAGGCCGGGCGCGGAGGAAAGUCCGGACUCCACAGGGCAACGGUGGUUGCUAACAGCAACCCGGGGCGACCCGCGGGAACAGUGCCACAGAAAACAAACCGCCCGCCACAGGCGGGUAAGGGUGAAAAGGUGCGGUAAGAGCGCACCAGCGCCCCAGGUGACUGGGGUGGCUAGGUAAACCCCACCGGGAGCAAGGUCAAGGUGCCCGCACGCGCGCUAUCCCAGAUAGUGCAGACGUGCGGCGUAGCUCUAGGGCUGCCCGCCCAACAAUGAGCAGGUAGGCCGCUUGAAGCCAUCAGCAAUGGUGCGCUCAGAUGGAUGAUCGCCUCGUCCCACGCUGGCCUCGCGUGCCAUAGGUGCUGCGGGGUGGGCGGGGGAUAGGACAGAAUCCGGCUCACAGGUCGUCUCGACGC
This 461-nucleotide RNase P RNA is filed under the name Corynebacterium sp. LK28. RNAcentral describes it as "RNase P RNA component class A". It matches the Rfam family "Bacterial RNase P class A". Rfam says of the family: Ribonuclease P (RNase P) is a ubiquitous endoribonuclease, found in archaea, bacteria and eukarya as well as chloroplasts and mitochondria. Its best characterised activity is the generation of mature 5'-ends of tRNAs by cleaving the 5'-leader elements of precursor-tRNAs. The record is from RNAcentral. Lineage: Bacteria; Bacillati; Actinomycetota; Actinomycetes; Mycobacteriales; Corynebacteriaceae. RNAcentral also lists the same sequence under 1 other name.